Molecule: ribosomal RNA, 450 nt
Filed under: uncultured bacterium
Lineage: Bacteria
Description: bacterial SSU rRNA
Rfam family: Bacterial small subunit ribosomal RNA
Source: RNAcentral
GUGGGGAAUUUUGGACAAUGGGCGCAAGCCUGAUCCAGCAAUGCCGCGUGCAGGAAGAAGGCCUUCGGGUUGUAAACUGCUUUUGUACGGAACGAAACGGUCCGGGUUAAUACCCUGGGCUAAUGACGGUACCGUAAGAAUAAGCACCGGCUAACUACGUGCCAGCAGCCGCGGUAAUACGUAGGGUGCAAGCGUUAAUCGGAAUUACUGGGCGUAAAGAGUGCGCAGGCGGUUUUGUAAGACAGGCGUGAAAUCCCCGGGCUCAACCUGGGAAUUGCGCUUGUGACUGCAAGGCUGGAGUGCGGCAGAGGGGGAUGGAAUUCCGCGUGUAGCAGUGAAAUGCGUAGAUAUGCGGAGGAACACCGAUGGCGAAGGCAAUCCCCUGGGCCUGCACUGACGCUCAUGCACGAAAGCGUGGGGAGCAAACAGGAUUAGAUACCCUGGUAGUCC